CUACGGGUGGCACCAGUGAGGAAUAUUGCACAAUGGGGGGAACCCUGAUGCAGCAACGCCGCGUGGAGGAUGACGCAUUUCGGUGUGUAAACUCCUUUUAUAUGUCAAGAAAAUGACGGUAGCAUAUGAAUAAGCACCGGCUAACUCCGUGCCAGCGGCCGCGGUAAUACGGAGGGUGCAAGCAUUACUCGGAAUCACUGGGCGUAAAGGACGCGUAGGCGGGUUGGAAAGUCAGGUGUGAAAUCCUACAGCUUAACUGUAGAACUGCACUUGAAACUUCUAAUCUAGAGUAUGGGAGGGGGAGAUGGAAUUAGUGGUGUAGGGGUAAAAUCCGUAGAUAUCACUAGGAAUACCUAAAGCGAAGGCGAUCUCCUGGAACAUUACUGACGCUAAGGCGUGAAAGCGUGGGGAGCAAACAGGAUUAGAUACCCCGGUAGUC
Molecule: ribosomal RNA, 439 nt
Filed under: uncultured bacterium
Lineage: Bacteria
Description: partial 16S ribosomal RNA
Rfam family: Bacterial small subunit ribosomal RNA
Source: RNAcentral